CCCAAGUAGCGUACAUAGCUCUUCUUCCUCCAUAGGUAUCUUCCUGGAUUCUUAUUGGAAAUUUACGAAUAUCCAUACUUUAAUGACUUGUUAAGUUGGGUAACGCUCUGCGUUGAACCAUGGCAUUGUUUCUGUAUUCUCUCGAAUGGUUGCGAACCACUAUUUAAAAAAAAAAAAAAAAAAAAUCUAUCGGUGGCAUGCCCCUCACCUAUGGGUGGUAUUUAUUUUGCCACUGUUUGGUACUGUUAAAAAGAUUUUUAAUAAAUUUUGAUGAAAUACGUGGUAAAAAAAAAAAAGUUUAGUCUCAUUAAAUAUACUAUUAAAAUAAUUAUUGAUUUUAACUUAAAAUUUUAUAAAGAUUAAAAUCCACGCCAAACACACGCUAAUAAAAAGAUAAUAACUAGACCUGAAACCUUUGUUACUAUGAUAUUUUGUUAAUAAUUUGAUCUGGAAAGUAUUAAGCCCUAGUUUAAUAAAGUUUUUAUUUAUUUUUACUUUUUUCCCCUUCAGAUUAUAAAUUUAGUCCAACACUAUUUUCAACCACAUGUUUAAUUGAUUUCACAAAUUUAUUCACGAUUUAAUCCUACAAUUGAUGAGACUUUUCAAAAGGUUCUCUCAAAAAACAGGGGCUAUUAAAAAGCAGCGACUUCUCUUCUUAAUUCAUUGCUUCCUAAUUGCUAGAACCUAAGAAACUAUGGAGCCGUUUCAAGAAAACAGGGUGAAUCAGCCGUUGUUGGAGCCAAAAGAACCCGCACGGCAGGUGUCUGGGGAGUAUAUAAGUUCUGAGCUUGAGGAUAUACUAUCGAACACCAGCUUGUCGUGGUGGCGCCGCCUGCAAAAGGCCAUCUGGACCGAGAUGAAGACUCUCUACCUCCUUGCAGCUCCUGCGGUUAUAGUUUACUUGCUUAACAAUGUUACUUCAGUGUCCACUCAGAUUUUCUGUGGCCAUCUUGGCAAUCUUGAACUUGCUGCUGCAUCUCUCGGCAACAACGGUGUUCAACUUCUGGCCUAUGGAAUCAUGGUAACCCUCAAUCACUACUUGCCCCCCAAAAAGUAAAUAAUUAAUACUUAACUAAAUUAUUAUCUAUUAUAAUUCCCUGUCAUACCAAUUCUGCAAAUGAAGAUACUACUUUUGUGCUUGCCAUGAGCAGCUAGGAAUGGGAAGUGCAGUAGAAACGUUGUGUGGGCAGGCAUAUGGAGCUCACAGAUACGAAAUGCUUGGAAUAUACAUGCAAAGAUCAACAAUCCUCCUGAUUGCAACAGGGAUACCAUUGAUGAUAAUUUAUAUUUUCUGCAAGCCAAUUUUGCUCUUGCUAGGUGAAUCAAAAAGGCUUGCAUCUGCGGCAUCUGUGUUCAUCUAUGGCCUAAUCCCUCAGAUUUUCGCGUACGCUGCAAAUUUUCCUAUACAAAAGUUCUUGCAGGCACAAAGCAUAGUGAAUCCCAGUGCAUAUAUAGCAGCAGGUACACUGGUACUGCACUUGCUAUUGACAUGGCUGGUGGUGUAUGUGUUCGGAUGGGGAUUGCUCGGUGCGGCACUGGUGUUGAGUUUAUCGUGGUGGAUUAUAGUGGUGGUACAAUUUGUGUAUAUUUUAUGGACUGAGAAGUGCAAAGCUACAUGGACUGGAUUCAGUUGGAGGGCAUUUCAUGGGCUGUGGGAUUUUUUGAAGAUUUCAACUUCCUCUGCCGUUAUGCUCUGCCUCGAGACUUGGUACUUUCAGAUUUUAAUUCUUAUUGCUGGUUUGCUUCCCAAUCCUGAAAUUGUAUUGGACUCCUUGUCUGUUUGGUAAGGCUAAAUUUCUCCACUUUCUUGUCCAAUUCAAAAAUCAUUUCAUGUUCUGGAAAAUUAAAAUAAUUAGUUAAUUAAUUAAUAUGCAGUGUCACAGUCCUUGGUUGGGUAUUUAUGAUAUCUGUGGGUUUCAAUGCUGCUGCAAGGUAUUUAUGAUAUCCUUUAUUUUCCCUUUUCUCAUUUUUCAGUGGUUUGCUAAGUAUUGAAUUAAUUUUUGCUCUUAAUGAAUUAAAUUCAUUAUUUCCUAAUUAAUUUUAAUAUCCAGUGUAAGGGUUAGCAAUGAGCUUGGAGCUGGACAUCCCAAAUCAGCUGCAUUUUCUGUCGUGGUGGUGACAAUGAAUUCCUUCGUAUUAGCAGUAUUUUUUGCCGUUUUGUCAUAUUUGCUGCGUUAUCAAUUAAGUUAUAUCUUCACCGGCGGAGAAACAGUUUCAAAUGCAGUAGCAGACCUCACACCACUCAUGGCCAUCUCCAUUGUUCUUAAUGGCAUUCAACCUGUUUUGUCUGGUAAAAUAUAAAUUUCCUUUUCUCUCAGUUUUAUUUUGAUUUUCUAGAUGGCUUACUAUAAAGUUCUAUUAGUGUGUGUUUGGUUAUAGAAAGUCAUUUUUUCAAAACUUAUUUUUAAUCACACAUAUUUCUAUAAAAAUAAUGGGAAUCAAACGGGGGCUAAAUAAAUGUUACCACUUGUUAGUUGUUUCGACUCGUCUGUAUGAGAGGUUUUAAAGUGAGAAGUUAGACACUAGAAAUGGUUAUAUAUCUAUGAAUGAUUACAAGGGGAAAAUAAUGGAUAAGACAAGGAGGAGAGGAUAACAAAAUGGAAAAUUCUGCUCAAACAUGGGCCUUGGAUAGGCCCCUGUGGUAGGGGUUGAGAUGUCAGCCCCUCAUCUGAAUUUCAGGUCAAUGUAGUGCUUCUCUAACAAACUUGAAGUAGACUGUGUACAGUAGGGGGGGUCACAGCCACGGGGAGGAGUGAUUUUUAUUUUUUGUUUUUAAUUUUUUGCAAUAAAAUAUUGACAUGGGCCCACUCCAUGUGAGAGGCCUUGUCUGUACACAAGGAAUUAAUGAGCAAAAUACAGAAAUAAUAAUUAUGACAGAUGAAAGAAAAUAUGUGGAGAUUCCUAGAAGCAAAAGGAAAGGAAGAAAAGACAAGAAGAAGAGGGUAACAAAAUCUGAACACAAUAAUUAUAAGACUCUGGACGUACUCCAUUCAAGUGUGUGGUAAUGAAGCGUGCCAUCAAGGUAUAUGAAAUAUAUUUUUCAAUAUGUUACUCUCUGCUUCACGUCUCUUUAGAAGGGGGUAACUUUAUUUUGUUGCACUUCUGGUUGGAAGUCAAAUUGUGUUUACCUUCUCAGUCUGUAUUUUAUUUUAUCUUCAUUUUUAAUAAAACAUACCAUCUUUACUAGUUUAAUUAAUAAACGAAAGGAAUAAAAUUUGCAGCUUUUUCUUCUAACAAUUUGUUAAAAGAGUAACGUUUAGGCAUAGUUGAACGAAAUUCAUUUCAUUUUUAUGUACAAGUCAAAUUUCAUGCUCCUUCUACAUGAGAGAAUCUUCAGUAGCGUGGUGCGAUCGUCCUAUUAAUGUGCGUUACCUAGACAGAUGACCCACCACCAUCGAGAUGGCGCCUCGACAUUGGGCGGGCGUGCUAUCCCAUGCCCCUUUUGCACACGAGAAUUUUUAGUAGGGCGGUCCCACCACUAAGGUGUGCCACCUCGACGAAUGCCCCCCCACCCCCCAACCCUGAGGUGUGUGGACCCUAGCUGAGGUGGGGCCUCGGCAUUGGGCGGGGUGCGCCCACCCCACUGAAAAUUCUUCCCUUUUACACAGGUGCUAAUACUUAAGACACUUAAUCAAUUAUUAUCCUUUCUUCAUGAGUUACAUAUAUAUAAAAUGGAAUUUGUCUGUAUGUAGUACCUGGAUACACGGGAUAAUUGAUGAAACAUGUUUUAUUUUUGUAUGUUGGAAUUGACAAUACAAAGGUGUGGCCGUUGGAUGUGGAUGGCAAACAUUUGUUGCGUACGUUAACGUUGCUUGUUACUAUGUGAUUGGCAUUCCAUUGGGUUCAGUUCUUGGAUUUAAAUUCAACCUCGGAGCAAAGGUACUUCAAUGCUUUUCUUUUUACAUUAAUCUAGAAAGUUUUCAAGGCAGAAACAAACUUUCAUUAAGACAAGUCAUUUUGAACAUGUGUGCCAAAUAAAAUACGAGAUUCAAUCGACCUAAUUUCAAGCAAUUGGAGUAGUGGCAACGAAGGAAGCAAGCGAGAGGACUACUCCAUUCUUAUGUAUAGGCUUAAAAUAACAAGAUCUAUAGAGUUAAACAAUUUAUUUCCCUAUUUCUUGUUUGUUAGCUUAUUUUAUAUUUUGCGUCAUUAUACAUAUUGGGAUUCUAUGCUCAUUUUUUAUUCAUCGUGAUGUACGCAGACAAGGUUUAGUCUACAACAUAAUUGAAAAGCUCGUCUCCGACUGUAUAUAGUUUUUGCAGAUUUUUUAAAUAUAGUUUUACUCGUGAAUUGCAGGGAAUAUGGUCAGGAAUGCUGGGAGGUACAACCUUGCAGACUCUAAUCUUAUUAUGGGUUACAAUUCGGACGGACUGGAAUAAGGAGGUAUAAAUUUCAUAUUAUUAGAUAUUUUCUUAAUCAUCAUCUGUCUAUGUAGUCAAUAGUGUUACUGUCACUUUUUUCAUUACAGUUGCAAUGCGUAGUUAUUCAUUUGAUAGUGUGACAAUAGUCCUAUGAUCAGCUGGGAUACAAAUGAUAUAAUUCAUUGUAAUUAAAUUUCAAUGUAGAUAUUUAAAUUUAUUUGAACUAAGAAAAUUGUAAAGAUAAAAGAAAACCAGUAGGAGUUUUUUUUUUUUUUUUUGUUGUCGAUUCUCUGUUCAACAUGACACUUUGUGCAACUUUCAGGUGGAGAACGCAAGGAGACGGUUGCAAAGGUUGGAAGACAAGAGAGAAGAAGAACAGAGAAGAGAAGAAGCUAAGUUGGAUAAUUAAUUAGAUUACACCUUUUUCUCCAAAAACUAUUACUACUAUGCAUGUUGGUUCUCUCAUUUUUGUGGUGAUAAGAAGUCAUAUAAAAUAAUUUACUAGGAUUUCCUUGCUUAAAGGGAGGUUGAAUUAAUAAUGGAUUUGGUUUUCUAUAUCCAAUCUUCGUCUUCAUCGAUCAGUUAAUAACAAGAAUUUAUUUGGAAUUAAUAACAAGGCUGUGAAGAGACUGUGUAACUUGGUCUUCAAUAUUUUUAUUAAAAAUAUAAAUUUAAUUUUCAACGAU
This 5047-nucleotide long non-coding RNA is filed under the name Olea europaea subsp. europaea. Lineage: Eukaryota; Viridiplantae; Streptophyta; Magnoliopsida; Lamiales; Oleaceae. The record is from RNAcentral.